This 324-nucleotide ribosomal RNA is filed under the name uncultured bacterium. Its description in RNAcentral is "bacterial SSU rRNA". It matches the Rfam family "Bacterial small subunit ribosomal RNA", at positions 28 to 334 of the family's 1533-position model. The record is from RNAcentral.
GACGAACGCUGGCGGCGUGCCUAACACAUGCAAGUCGAGCGGGGACUUAAUCAUGAAGUUUUCGGAUGGAUUGGUUAAGUUCUAGCGGCGGACGGGUGAGUAACGCGUGAGCAACCUGCCUAUCACUGGGGAAUAACGCAGCGAAAGUUGUGCUAAUACCGCAUGAGACCACAGAGGGACAUCCCUUAGGGGUCAAAGAUUUUAUCGGUGAUAGAUGGGCUCGCGUCUGAUUAGCUAGUUGGUGAGGUAACGGCCCACCAAGGCGACGAUCAGUAGUCGACCUGAGAGGGUGAUCGGCCACAUUGGAACUGAGAAACGGUCCAA